This 265-nucleotide ribosomal RNA is filed under the name uncultured prokaryote. RNAcentral's name for it is "partial 16S ribosomal RNA". It matches the Rfam family "Bacterial small subunit ribosomal RNA", at positions 524 to 788 of the family's 1533-position model. The record is from RNAcentral.
UACGUAGGUGGCGAGCGUUGUCCGGAUUUACUGGGCGUAAAGGGAGCGUAGGCGGACUUUUAAGUGAGAUGUGAAAUACCCGAGCUCAACUUGGGUGCUGCAUUUCAAACUGGAAGUCUAGAGUGCAGGAGAGGAAAAUGGAAUUCCUAGUGUAGCGGUGAAAUGCGUAGAGAUUAGGAAGAACACCAGUGGCGAAGGCGAUUCUCUGGACUGUAACUGACGCUGAGGCUCGAAAGCGUGGGGAGCAAACAGGAUUAGAUACCCG